RNAcentral lists this ribosomal RNA (1275 nucleotides) under uncultured bacterium. RNAcentral's name for it is "bacterial SSU rRNA". It matches the Rfam family "Bacterial small subunit ribosomal RNA", at positions 83 to 1381 of the family's 1533-position model. The record is from RNAcentral.
GAAAAUAACUUAGUGGCGAACGGGUGAGUAACGCGUGAGUAACCUGCCCUGGAGUGGGGGACAACAGUUGGAAACGGCUGCUAAUACCGCAUAAGCCCACGAUCCGGCAUCGGAUUGAGGGAAAAGGAUUUAUUCGCUUCAGGAUGGACUCGCGUCCAAUUAGCUAGUUGGUGAGGUAACGGCCCACCAAGGCGACGAUUGGUAGCCGGACUGAGAGGUUGAACGGCCACAUUGGGACUGAGACACGGCCCAGACUCCUACGGGAGGCAGCAGUGGGGGAUAUUGCACAAUGGGGGAAACCCUGAUGCAGCGACGCCGCGUGGAGGAAGAAGGUUUUCGGAUUGUAAACUCCUGUCGUUAGGGACGAUAAUGACGGUACCUAACAAGAAAGCACCGGCUAACUACGUGCCAGCAGCCGCGGUAAAACGUAGGGUGCAAGCGUUGUCCGGAAUUACUGGGUGUAAAGGGAGCGCAGGCGGACCGGCAAGUUGGAAGUGAAAACUAUGGGCUCAACCCAUAAAUUGCUUUCAAAACUGCUGGCCUUGAGUAGUGCAGAGGUAGGUGGAAUUCCCGGUGUAGCGGUGGAAUGCGUAGAUAUCGGGAGGAACACCAGUGGCGAAGGCGACCUACUGGGCACCAACUGACGCUGAGGCUCGAAAGCAUGGGUAGCAAACAGGAUUAGAUACCCUGGUAGUCCAUGCCGUAAACGAUGAUUACUAGGUGUUGGAGGAUUGACCCCUUCAGUGCCGCAGUUAACACAAUAAGUAAUCCACCUGGGGAGUACGACCGCAAGGUUGAAACUCAAAGGAAUUGACGGGGGCCCGCACAAGCAGUGGAGUAUGUGGUUUAAUUCGAAGCAACGCGAAGAACCUUACCAGGUCUUGACAUCCGAUGCAUAGUGCAGAGAUGCAUGAAGUCCUUCGGGACAUCGAGACAGGUGGUGCAUGGUUGUCGUCAGCUCGUGUCGUGAGAUGUUGGGUUAAGUCCCGCAACGAGCGCAACCCUUAUUGCCAGUUACUACGUAAGAGGACUCUGGCGAGACUGCCGUUGACAAAACGGAGGAAGGUGGGGAUGACGUCAAAUCAUCAUGCCCUUUAUGACCUGGGCUACACACGUACUACAAUGGCGUUUAACAAAGAGAAGCAAGACCGCGAGGUGGAGCAAAACUCAAAAACAACGUCUCAGUUCAGAUUGCAGGCUGCAACUCGCCUGCAUGAAGUCGGAAUUGCUAGUAAUCGCGGAUCAGCAUGCCGCGGUGAAUACGUUCCCGGGCCU